This 274-nucleotide long non-coding RNA is filed under the name Gossypium barbadense (sea-island cotton). RNAcentral's name for it is "long non-coding RNA (GBAR_LNC021694)". Lineage: Eukaryota; Viridiplantae; Streptophyta; Magnoliopsida; Malvales; Malvaceae. The record is from RNAcentral.
AUGGAACAAAACUGUGAAAGUGGAAGCAACCAUGACCACAGGAGUAAAAAGACACAUGAGACGUGGUAGCAACCACAUCCAUGAAGAAUUGGAUCCUUAUCAGAACUACUGUUCGGGAUUCAAAAUAGAAUUGUAUAGAAUUUUUUAUCUCCUUUAUAAAUAGAGAGGAAAGAUCAAUUGUAGAGACAUAUUGUAAAUUAUCAAAUACUUUCCUUUUUAGUUCUCUCUUUUGUAAACUUUUCCUUUUGUAAUAAAUAGUCUAUAAAUCCUCCCG